UUCCUGAUGUUAAAUCAGAAUCUCAUUCCUUAUCAUUUGAAUCCAUUGGUUUGGGCCCUACCCUCUGGAGGAGAAGGAAACAAGCUUGCUCCAACUUCCAUGUGACUGCAAUUUAGAUAUUUGAAGAUGGCCAUCACAUCACCUCUCAGUCUUCUCUUCUGCAGGCUAAACACGCACCGUUC
Podarcis lilfordi (Lilford's wall lizard) is the source of this 182-nucleotide non-coding RNA. NCBI's taxonomy places the organism in Eukaryota, Metazoa, Chordata, Lepidosauria, Squamata, Lacertidae. The record is from the annotation of a GenBank genome assembly.